UUUCCUAUCUUUCAGGAUCUACGUUCUGAGUUGAAGGAGCUAAUUCCAGAAUAUCAGGAGCGUGUUAAGAAGCUGAGGAAUGAGCAUGCAAAUGUUGAAUUGGGAAAAAUCACUGUUGAUAUGGUAUUUGGUGGAAUGAGAGGAAUGACGGCUUUGGUAUGGCUAGGUUCAGCUGUCGACCCAGAUGAGGUACAUAUCUAAAA
Arachis ipaensis is the source of this 203-nucleotide non-coding RNA. Lineage: Eukaryota; Viridiplantae; Streptophyta; Magnoliopsida; Fabales; Fabaceae. The record is from RefSeq and is a predicted model, not a curated record.